Molecule: ribosomal RNA, 1311 nt
Filed under: Bacillus altitudinis
Lineage: Bacteria; Bacillati; Bacillota; Bacilli; Caryophanales; Bacillaceae
Description: bacterial SSU rRNA
Rfam family: Bacterial small subunit ribosomal RNA
Source: RNAcentral
CAAGUCGAGCGGACAGAAGGGAGCUUGCUCCCGGAUGUUAGCGGCGGACGGGUGAGUAACACGUGGGUAACCUGCCUGUAAGACUGGGAUAACUCCGGGAAACCGGAGCUAAUACCGGAUAGUUCCUUGAACCGCAUGGUUCAAGGAUGAAAGACGGUUUCGGCUGUCACUUACAGAUGGACCCGCGGCGCAUUAGCUAGUUGGUGAGGUAACGGCUCACCAAGGCGACGAUGCGUAGCCGACCUGAGAGGGUGAUCGGCCACACUGGGACUGAGACACGGCCCAGACUCCUACGGGAGGCAGCAGUAGGGAAUCUUCCGCAAUGGACGAAAGUCUGACGGAGCAACGCCGCGUGAGUGAUGAAGGUUUUCGGAUCGUAAAGCUCUGUUGUUAGGGAAGAACAAGUGCAAGAGUAACUGCUUGCACCUUGACGGUACCUAACCAGAAAGCCACGGCUAACUACGUGCCAGCAGCCGCGGUAAUACGUAGGUGGCAAGCGUUGUCCGGAAUUAUUGGGCGUAAAGGGCUCGCAGGCGGUUUCUUAAGUCUGAUGUGAAAGCCCCCGGCUCAACCGGGGAGGGUCAUUGGAAACUGGGAAACUUGAGUGCAGAAGAGGAGAGUGGAAUUCCACGUGUAGCGGUGAAAUGCGUAGAGAUGUGGAGGAACACCAGUGGCGAAGGCGACUCUCUGGUCUGUAACUGACGCUGAGGAGCGAAAGCGUGGGGAGCGAACAGGAUUAGAUACCCUGGUAGUCCACGCCGUAAACGAUGAGUGCUAAGUGUUAGGGGGUUUCCGCCCYUUAGUGCUGCAGCUAACGCAUUAAGCACUCCGCCUGGGGAGUACGGUCGCAAGACUGAAACUCAAAGGAAUUGACGGGGGCCCGCACAAGCGGUGGAGCAUGUGGUUUAAUUCGAAGCAACGCGAAGAACCUUACCAGGUCUUGACAUCCUCUGACAACCCUAGAGAUAGGGCUUUCCCUUCGGGGACAGAGUGACAGGUGGUGCAUGGUUGUCGUCAGCUCGUGUCGUGAGAUGUUGGGUUAAGUCCCGCAACGAGCGCAACCCUUGAUCUUAGUUGCCAGCAUUCAGUUGGGCACUCUAAGGUGACUGCCGGUGACAAACCGGAGGAAGGUGGGGAUGACGUCAAAUCAUCAUGCCCCUUAUGACCUGGGCUACACACGUGCUACAAUGGACAGAACAAAGGGCUGCGAGACCGCAAGGUUUAGCCAAUCCCACAAAUCUGUUCUCAGUUCGGAUCGCAGUCUGCAACUCGACUGCGUGAAGCUGGAAUCGCUAGUAAUCGCGGAUCAGC